GUCACCGUAAGAUAUGAAAGUAAAGAAACUUUGCUGGCAGAUGCGGCAAUGGAAAAAGUGAGAAAAUAUCAACAUCUUAGAAGUCAAGUACAAGAACUGACGAACACCUCCAAUAUUAAAUUUAUGGGAUUUCCCCUGGGCGCACGCGGGAAGUGGCAUCACGGCAACUACGAGUUAUUGGCUAAGUUAGGACUCUCAAAUUCCCAACAGGAUAAAGUGGCUCCCCCUCUCCUAGGCGCACGUGGGAAGUGGCAUCAUGGCAAUUACGAGUUAUUGGCUGAGUUAGGACUCUCGAAUUCCCGACAGGAUAAAGUGGCUCGUCGUUUAUCGACUCGAGCGUUGUUUACAUCAGUGGACAUUGUACACGUGUUUGUAAGUCAAGCACGGUCUAUUGUAAGAUCUUGAAACUGUUAUAUAUCUGUACUGUUUAUUGUAUAUUUAAAUGCAAAUAAAGUGUAGUCAUCUUGAGAGCGAGUGAGCGACAGCUAGGGUGAAACUAACCAGCUCACGACGGUUAGGGAGGGAUGCUAUCUAGUAUGUAGGGAUAUUAUGGGACUCGAAAUCAUGAUGCAUCUUCUCUCUUGAUGAGAGAUCUAAAUUUACUGAUUUGACUAAGGUGGAUGGGCCACCUAUACUUUAACCCGGAAAAGGAACAUGUAUAAUCUUAUAUGUGUUCAAUAAAUAGCCAAAUGCCUCGUCAUCUAAUUAGUGACGAGCAUGAAUGGAUGAACGAGAUUCCCACUGUCCCUACCUACUAUCCAGCGAAACCACAGCCAAGGGAAUGGGCUUGGCGGAAUCAGCAGGUAAAGAAGACCCUGUUGAGCUUGACUCUAGUC
Molecule: non-coding RNA, 836 nt
Filed under: Balearica regulorum gibbericeps (East African grey crowned-crane)
Lineage: Eukaryota; Metazoa; Chordata; Aves; Gruiformes; Gruidae
Description: Balearica pavonina gibbericeps Eukaryotic large subunit ribosomal RNA
Rfam family: Eukaryotic large subunit ribosomal RNA
Source: Rfam by way of RNAcentral